Molecule: ribosomal RNA, 1404 nt
Filed under: Staphylococcus aureus
Lineage: Bacteria; Bacillati; Bacillota; Bacilli; Caryophanales; Staphylococcaceae
Description: bacterial SSU rRNA
Rfam family: Bacterial small subunit ribosomal RNA
Source: RNAcentral
UUUAUGGAGAGUUUGAUCCUGGCUCAGGAUGAACGCUGGCGGCGUGCCUAAUACAUGCAAGUCGAGCGAACGGACGAGAAGCUUGCUUCUCUGAUGUUAGCGGCGGACGGGUGAGUAACACGUGGAUAACCUACCUAUAAGACUGGGAUAACUUCGGGAAACCGGAGCUAAUACCGGAUAAUAUUUUGAACCGCAUGGUUCAAAAGUGAAAGACGGUCUUGCUGUCACUUAUAGAUGGAUCCGCGCUGCAUUAGCUAGUUGGUAAGGUAACGGCUUACCAAGGCAACGAUGCAUAGCCGACCUGAGAGGGUGAUCGGCCACACUGGAACUGAGACACGGUCCAGACUCCUACGGGAGGCAGCAGUAGGGAAUCUUCCGCAAUGGGCGAAAGCCUGACGGAGCAACGCCGCGUGAGUGAUGAAGGUCUUCGGAUCGUAAAACUCUGUUAUUAGGGAAGAACAUAUGUGUAAGUAACUGUGCACAUCUUGACGGUACCUAAUCAGAAAGCCACGGCUAACUACGUGCCAGCAGCCGCGGUAAUACGUAGGUGGCAAGCGUUAUCCGGAAUUAUUGGGCGUAAAGCGCGCGUAGGCGGUUUUUUAAGUCUGAUGUGAAAGCCCACGGCUCAACCGUGGAGGGUCAUUGGAAACUGGAAAACUUGAGUGCAGAAGAGGAAAGUGGAAUUCCAUGUGUAGCGGUGAAAUGCGCAGAGAUAUGGAGGAACACCAGUGGCGAAGGCGACUUUCUGGUCUGUAACUGACGCUGAUGUGCGAAAGCGUGGGGAUCAAACAGGAUUAGAUACCCUGGUAGUCCACGCCGUAAACGAUGAGUGCUAAGUGUUAGGGGGUUUCCGCCCCUUAGUGCUGCAGCUAACGCAUUAAGCACUCCGCCUGGGGAGUACGACCGCAAGGUUGAAACUCAAAGGAAUUGACGGGGACCCGCACAAGCGGUGGAGCAUGUGGUUUAAUUCGAAGCAACGCGAAGAACCUUACCAAAUCUUGACAUCCUUUGACAACUCUAGAGAUAGAGCCUUCCCCUUCGGGGGACAAAGUGACAGGUGGUGCAUGGUUGUCGUCAGCUCGUGUCGUGAGAUGUUGGGUUAAGUCCCGCAACGAGCGCAACCCUUAAGCUUAGUUGCCAUCAUUAAGUUGGGCACUCUAAGUUGACUGCCGGUGACAAACCGGAGGAAGGUGGGGAUGACGUCAAAUCAUCAUGCCCCUUAUGAUUUGGGCUACACACGUGCUACAAUGGACAAUACAAAGGGCAGCGAAACCGCGAGGUCAAGCAAAUCCCAUAAAGUUGUUCUCAGUUCGGAUUGUAGUCUGCAACUCGACUACAUGAAGCUGGAAUCGCUAGUAAUCGUAGAUCAGCAUGCUACGGUGAAUACGUUCCCGGGUCUUGUAC